This 490-nucleotide long non-coding RNA is filed under the name Vulpes vulpes (red fox). Its description in RNAcentral is "lncRNA (ENSVVUG00000027115.1)". Lineage: Eukaryota; Metazoa; Chordata; Mammalia; Carnivora; Canidae. The record is from RNAcentral.
CCGAGGGGCGGGCGGCGGCCCGGAGCGCUCGCUGCUGAGGCGCGGGGCGUGCGGGCCCCCGGGGCUGUGCGGAUGGGCCCGCGGCCUCUGGCGCCGGGAGUCUGCGUCCGAGCCUCGGCUCUUCCGCUGCGUGGCCAUGGUAAGGUGCCCAUCCCCAGUUUCUCCAUCUGCAAAGUGCCGCGGCUGACUUCGUGUGAGCUCACGCGUGUGAGCGGCGGCGCGGCCCUGAUGAGAGGCGCAGAGACCCGAGAAAGCGGGCCCUCAAGUAGAGCGCUUGGCCGCAGGCUGGGAGGAGAGGCGGCGGGCGGAGCCGGAGAGGAUUCUGGUCAAUACACUGCUGAGUGUACAAUGAACUCGUGUAUCCUGCAGAAUUUGCAUUGUCAGGAGGAAGGCCUUGCUCAGAGAGAGGAAAAUCAUCCUUCAUUCAAGAGUUUAUGAGUAGCAGCCACUGCUUGAAUUGCCCACAUAACCUCAGCUAACUCAGAUGGUG